GGGAGUUUAGCUCAGCUGGUUCAGAGCACUUGCCUUACAAGCAAGGGGUCACUGGUUCGAAUCCAGUAACUCCCACCA
Molecule: transfer RNA, 78 nt
Filed under: Bacteroidales bacterium
Lineage: Bacteria; Pseudomonadati; Bacteroidota; Bacteroidia; Bacteroidales
Also listed under: 1 other name
Description: tRNA-Val
Rfam family: tRNA
About the family: Transfer RNA (tRNA) molecules are approximately 80 nucleotides in length. Their secondary structure includes four short double-helical elements and three loops (D, anti-codon, and T loops).
Source: RNAcentral